UUCGCAAUGCCCGAAAGGGUGACGAAGCGACGCCGCGUGUGGGAAGAAGGCCUUCGGGUUGUAAACCACUGUCGGGAGUUAAGAAAUGUAAGGGUGUUAAUAGUAUCCUUACUUGACUAAGGCUCCGGAGGAAGCCACGGCUAACUCUGUGCCAGCAGCCGCGGUAAUACAGAGGCGGCAAGCGUUGUUCGGAAUUAUUGGGCGUAAAGAGCACGUAGGCGGCUAUGUAAGUCGGUUGUGAAAGCCUUCCGCUCAACGGAAGAACAGCAGUUGAAACUACAGGGCUUGAGUGCGGGAGGGGAGAGUGGAACUUCUGGUGGAGCGGUGAAAUGCGUAGAUAUCAGAAGGAACGCCGGCGGCGAAAGCGGCUCUCUGGCCCAUAACUGACGCUGAGUGUGCGAAAGCUAGGGGAGCAAACGGGAUUAGAUACCCCGGUAGUCCUAGCCGUAAACGAUGGGCACUAAGUAGAGGGGUUUU
This 477-nucleotide ribosomal RNA is filed under the name uncultured Planctomycetales bacterium. Its description in RNAcentral is "bacterial SSU rRNA". It matches the Rfam family "Bacterial small subunit ribosomal RNA", at positions 365 to 832 of the family's 1533-position model. The record is from RNAcentral. Lineage: Bacteria; Pseudomonadati; Planctomycetota; Planctomycetia; Planctomycetales.